GUAUGCAAGACUUGACAAAGCUGAUGAGGGGCCAGAUGGGCCUCGCUCUUAUGGUUUUUUUUUCUUCUUCUUCUUCUUCUUCCUCUCUCUCUCUCUCUCUCUGUCUCUCUCUCUCUCGUCUCUCUUCCUUUCCCCCCUCCACCACUUGGGACCUGAGCGAGAGGACUGCAGCAGGCGAGUUCCGGAAGGCUGAAUCCCCAGGUCCCAGCCCCGGACCGCGGCAACUCGCCCCUGCGGCACGCCCGGCCCGGCUGCGCCCCCACUCAGCGAUGGAGGAAAAAGCCUGGAUGCGAAAGGAUGGGGGAGAACAAAGAGCCUUUGGAAGACGUCGCUGUUAUCUCAUUGUCUGUGUGAUUGGGGGAGCUGCGGCGGGGAGGAUGCUGUGGUCCCUUCCUCCGGCGUUCCCCACCCCCAUCCCUCUCCCCGCUGUCAGUGCGCACGCACACGCGCCGCUUUUUAUUUCUUUUUCCUGGUUUUCUUAUUCCAUCUUCUACCCACCCCUCUUCCUUUCUUUCACCUUUCCUUCCUUCCUUCCUCCUUUCCUUCCUCAGGAGAAAGGCCUCUCUCUCCGUGUUCACAGCGGACCUUGAUUUAAAUGUCCAUACAAUUAAGGCACGCGGUGAAUGCCAAGAAUGGGGCUGGCUGAGCACCGUGGGUCGGCGAGGGCCCGCCAAGGAAGGAGCGACCGACCGAGCCAGGCGCCCUCCGCAGACCUCCGCGCAGCGGCCGCGGGCGCGAGGGGAGGGGUCUGGAGCUCCCUCCGGCUGCCUGUCCCGCACCGGAGCCCGUGGGGUGGGGAGGUGUGCAGCCUGUGACAGACAGGGGCUUAGAGAUGCAAACAGACUCAGGGAGAGAAACAGAAGCUGAUUCUGUGACAGAAGCAGAUCUGUGCAGCACAGAUGCGGUGUGCGUGGGGAGGGGGUCGCCUGGGAGCGCAUUGCGGAGUGCUUGUGUGUGCAGAUUUUUCUCUGGGCUCAGGACUCAUUGUAUGUGGGUCAACACCUUCCUCCGUGACUGUGUUUUUGUUCUGAGCUGAGUUUUUUGGUUUGCCCUUAAAAAAAUAAUAAUUUGGCAUCCAGAGACUGGCAGACUGCCUCAGGGCCUGGACUGCGGAUAUAUUGUGUUCUGCUUGAGGUUUGGGGAGGAGGGCAGGCGGUAGGAAGGGAGAGGGGGAGCUGUUUGUCACACUUUGCUGUAGAGCUGAGAGCACCUGACAAGCUUAAGGAAGUCGUUGGGCUAUGUGGACAAGAAGGAGCCAGCUCCCAGCGGGUUCACAAGCUCUAUCGGAGUUGAAAGCGUGGUCAUGGCUCUAAGGAGCACCUCACGCCCUCCCUGUAGCUGUUAUUGCAGUUUCAGGCAGAGAUCCAGGAGCUGCAGAGGAAGGGAGAGGCACAAUAACCUACAUGGACCCAAGGGAGACAUGUGUUCCUUUAAAAAUGUGAACAGAAGGAAAAACAGAAUGUGUGCAACUGGGGGUCUGAGGAAAGACUGUUUUGAAAGAGGCUGUCAGGGAAUGGAAAGGGUUAAGCUUUUCAUCCUGAAGAACCUGCUUCCCAAAUCAGGCCUUCCUCCCAUCACUAGACCCUGAGCAGCAGCUGGUCCUAGAGACCCCCCUCGUACUGCGCUGCCACAGUCUCAUCCCAUUUCCAGCUCUGUAUUAACCACCAAGCUGCAGCGGAUGGGGCAAGACCUAAGCUCAUUAAUUUCCAGGUGGAGGAAAUGGAGGAGGGGCAGGUCCCUGCAGUAGAGGGAGGAGCAGAGAAAGGAGGCCAAGAGCUGGAUCCUUCUGCCCAGGAAGCCUGCUGCAUCCCUUCCCCCGAGCAUGGCAGAGGCCUGGCUUUGCAAGGCCAAGGCCAUAAGGGAUGCUUAGGAGAUUAAUUUGAUUCCUGACACAAUAAUCAAGCCCUAAGAGUCUCCACUGAAGCUUACUGAGGACUUCUUUCCUCUCCAAAGCCUCAGUCUAGCCUGCUAAAUAAAUUAGUAUUCAGUGAUGCCUUGGAUCAGGGCCCCUCCCCGGCCUCAGUUUCCCCAAAUAUUUAUUAAGUACCUACUGUGUGCAAUCCUUGUGUAAUUAUUAACUCUUAGGCUCUUCAUUUGCCCUCCUAAAGCAGUGUUUAGAGUCAGGCAGAGGUUAAGUGUGUUGCACCUCACCUAGAUACUUCCAGAACCUUCUCUGGGUCUGCAGAAUGUGGCACAACCUGCUUGCCCCCGCAGAGAGAAAGCUGCAGUGCACAUCCUGCAGACUGCAGGUGCUGGGCUGCCUCUGGAGUCCCAGAAGGCAAGCUUGGCUGCAGGACAGAAAGGGAGAACAGCUUCUCUCACCCCUGAGCCUUCACAAGCCCUUGUCUAUUUGCCGUUGCCUUCAAAAUAUACCUCCCCCGAAACCAGUAGCUUUCUGAGUCCUGGUGUCCCCUCCGCCCUUUCUGGACAGGUUUGGGAAGAAGAAAGCAGUCAGUGCUGGGCCUUAUUGGGGUGUGAAGCGCCUUGCUCUGCCCCUUCUGCUCACUGUGAAGGCCGCUGGAUGCUUCUCUUAGGCAUGGUUUAAGCCUCCGAUUACUAAACCCCUUGCCCCACAAACGUCCACAUUGACGAGCCUCUUUUUAGUAACUGCUUCCCCGUAAUUCCUUCAGAGGUUGCUGUACCCUUCGCUGAUGUGCUGCCCUCCUGUAAAACCUCCAGAUGCCUUCCCACGUAAUGCCCCUUUCAGAUGCUUUAAGCUGAGAGCUUAAACCACAGGUACCAUGGCUGACGCCUGCCAGGUUUCUGCUGCAGAUAAUCUAUGAUGGGAGGGGCAUAUUUUUUACUUCAUUACUUAUGUAAACUCUUGUUCCAGAAAGCUUUAAUGUGUGUGGGAGUGUUCUGGGUCUAUUAGGUCUGUGCGCAUGGGUGUGGGCAUUUGCCUGUGUCCACCGGGUGGGUCUCAUUAUGAAAUGUAUGUUUAUGUAGGGCUUUAAUGGCUGAAAAUGGCAAAGAGAUGAAUAGACCACUUGGCCCCAUGUGUAAUUGCCAGGCCCCUUCUGUGCUCAAAUGAGGUGUCCGAGUGAAGGUCAGCCCUUCCCUUCUGUAUUUGGGGCCUAUUUAUGCCACCAGUAAUUUUAUAAGAAAUCUGAAUAGUUCUCCCCUUUGAGUGCAUUUAACUCUUUAGUAUCUUCUCUCUUACCUAUUUGAGCCCCUCUAGCUACAGUCUGGCUUAAAUGAAAGGGGAAUUAUAUGCUUAAGAAAAAGUAGGACACGGUUGAGGCAGUUUGCUGACUGAAUACGCGAAGAAGGACCUGAUGGGCUCAUAUGCACCACUGCCAUCACAGUCCCCAUCGUGAUGCAAGCUUAUAUGAUUCUUGAGAAACAGCCCAGAUCUCCUCUUAAGCGGAAAAGAGAUUGACCUUCUAGCAGAGGCAAAGAAUGGAGUCUUCUGGGGGCAGCUGCAAAGCGUUCUCCCUAGGACAGAUGGAGCCUCCCUUUCCUCAUCUACUCUGUGGGUGGUUUCAGGGCCCACGAGUCAACAUGAGGAGUUGUGCUGGUGGUAUGUGUGUUGGAGGCUGGGCUGGCUGAUUCACAGUGACGAGGAUGUCAAUAAUAACAAGAAUGAGAAUGAUGAAAAUGUAUUCAAUACUUAAUUGCAUCACAAAUGUAGACAUAGAAGAAAGGACUUCAAACGGAAUUUAUGGGAGGCAAUGUGUGCGGCUUUUUGCCUUAUAGAGCUGUGUAGAAGGUCUGGAAUGAUCUUCCAGCACCAAAUUUAGAUGGCCUCAAAAAAAAAAAAAAAAAAAAAAAAAUCAGGCCUUAUUGAGGGCAAGGAAUGUUCCAGGUCAGAAAUAAAAGUGUCAGCAACUCUCAAUAGGUUCAUCUUUUUAUUUCCUGUCCUUCUCCCUUUUGUCUUAAAAUAGAAACGCUACCAAGACCUGAGGGCCUGGGUCAGGGGCCGGGAAGCCCAGAAAACAAACUUCCAGAAUCACUAAGGGCUUUCUCUCUCAAAAUUACAGUGGGAGGGUUCUUUUGAAAUUCAAAUCCAACCUAUUUGUUGCUUAAGCACACACAAAAUACUGAGACCUGGGGUCCAAGAGGCAAUACUUCCGCUGCAAGUGCAUGUUGCAACUUCGCGUGAUGUUCCCAGGGCGGUUCUGCGGCAACUUGCGGCUCCGCGACUGUGGGCGCGGGCCCCAUUUCGGGCCCCGUCGGCCGGGACCGCGCCCAGGGCUUCUCAAGUGACUCGCUUCCCAGCACGCAAGAGGCAUUCUCGUCUCUUUCUCUUCGAAUGCACCCGAGACUUCUCCAUGAAGCAAGGAGAAGAUGAGCAGGCGCUGGUUUCCCUUUUCUUUUUUGCUCCCAUUUCCCAGUCUUGAUUUUUUUUUUCCCUUUCUCUCUCUCUCCCGAAUCAUGCAGACCUGGAACUCCUAAGAUUCGGGUCCUCCUGCAGUUCCCAAAGCUUUGGAUCCAUCCGAGGUGUGGGUAGAUGCGGGUUAGUCUCAGGGUCUUUCUAGGAUGAGCCCCAAGCCCAAGUUCUAAGGCGAGGGGGAGGCGAAGAGGUCAGGGCUACAAACGCCAGGGACUGUCCCCGGAGAGGUCAUUUUUCCAUUUUCCAUGCACAUCGAUUUCACUCUAGCGCCAGAUGGACACUCGACGGUCAACGUUAGAGAUUUUUCCGGAGUCGGGGGCAGGAAGCGGGACGAAUUGAGACGAGGGUACAUCCUUUGCUUCCAAGGGUGGCCGAGCCAGACCGAAGGCCUGGGCGGGAGGUCACGUCCUCCCCUGGCCACCCACAGCGCUCCCCAGCCGCAGGCCUGGGCCUAGAAGCCGCGCCCUCCCGGCCGUGCAGCCGGUCAGCCUGUGCGCCCGGCGCCCGCAGUGCGGCUCCGGGCCUCUCUCUGAUCCACUUCAGUACCUGCGGCCUCGAGGACCCCACCGUGCAUCCCGGAAAGCCUCAGAACUUGCAAGAAAGAGGGGCUGGCAGGUGCAGCCUGGGAAGAGGACCCCGCCGCGAAAGCGCUUGGGGGUUGGGUUUUAUUUGCUGGAGUGGGGGGUCCGUCUCAGUGCAUCCUCCUGGAUUCCCCAUUAGGACGCCCCGCCCAUACAUCCAGCCUCCUCUCCCGGAUACCCCCAGUGACCCGGCCAGGGAGCGGGCAUCUUCCCCCAGGACCCAGAGACGUGUCCUCGCCAUCCCCAAACACCGUCCUUCCCCACCCCCGCAACCCUCUCCACAGAAGCCAAAACCACAACAAAAAUCUUCAACCCACAAAGAAAAAGACACAUUCCUCCUUCGGCCUUAGUCAGCGUUAGUUCCAGAUCCGAAGCCGGAGGGGACGGAGCCGCUCGAAGUCGGUUGGAAGGAAGGCGCAGAAGGCUCUUUCUGUCUCCAUGAAUCUCCUUGCAAAUGCAACCGCUGCUGCCAUUAGGACGCGGUCUCUGUUUGCAAAAAAAACUCAAUUCCUUCCAUUUCCUCAUCUGUUGGGUCCAUCAGCGUGCAGUGAGUGAUGCAAGGUCCCUUUGGGUCAACAGGCCGUCCCCUGAAAUAACUUUCAGAGCCCUGGCCUCAAGGUCAUGGGCCGGGUGGCCUCUACAGGCCACAGGUCAGGACCAGGAUGUGCCUGACUGAGGCUGUGCCACCGAGAGCUUCGGACGUGCAGAAAGGUGCCCUGAGCUGCACGGGGGGCUUCUGUCAGCCCCCUCCCACUCUACACAGAUUGAUGUGGCAAUAUUUAUUCCCAUUUAAUUGAGACACUGGUUUAAUUUCAGAUUGCUUCGGCUUAAGGCCCAAUGGGGUUUUCUGCAGCUCUUUUCCCCAGUGCCUCUACAGAAAUUAAUUGCUGUUAAUAUCCAAUUUUGGCUUUAUUAUUCGUUAGCCAAUUAUGUAUCCCAUAGCCCAGGCCCCUUGCUGCUCUCAGCCUUUGCUGGAAUCAGCUCACACUAUGCCGGGCUUCUGCUUUUCUGCCUUCCCCUCUAUUCAAACUCUGUCCUCCCAAGAUGAUUUACCGGCCCGUCAGGCAUUUUGCUUGUGUCCCAGCGCUAGCUGAGCUGGCGGAGGUGUCUUUAAGACGUUUUCCCCCUUUUGAGGGAAAUGUCUUCUUUGCAGUGGACAUAAUUUCCAUUUAAAAAGGAAUCUAAGCUUCUCCACUCUCGCUUCACUAUCCUAAGAUUUGCUUUCUCUGGAGCCAUUUUUGGAGAGCAGUUUUCCAUCAAAAGCAAGCAAGGUGCCCCGGCAUCAGGGCUCCCCUCCCCACCUCCCUAGGAGCCCCUCCGAGACUGUCUUAAAGCCACCACAUAUACAUAACACCAUAGAUUCAAACAGGGUGCUUGGAGGAUGUCAUUCCACAUUUCAAGGAGGGAAACUUGAAAAAGCACUAUUUUCAGAGAUGAGGAGGGCAGCUCUCCCCUCGUCCCCCACAGAGGCCCUGGAAACCAUUCCAGCCUUGCACUGCGCAACCCUGCUUGAUGGAGCUGAUGCAACUGGGGGCGAGAGCCUUUAAAAAGUGUUCUUUUGCCUUGGUUUUUUGUGCCUUGAGUUCACAGAAGCAAACACUUCCCAUCACUGGUGCUCUGGAAACAGAAACAUACAAGUGAGAAUCCUAACGACAGCAGAGGCCCUUCUUUGUCUGCUUCCUCUCCUUCCCCCCUUGGAAAGAAUGCCUCCCAUGCCUUAAUGUGCCCUCACACUUAUCUCUAGCAGUUCCGUAACAACCUGCGCAGUGUC
Molecule: long non-coding RNA, 6685 nt
Filed under: Homo sapiens (human)
Lineage: Eukaryota; Metazoa; Chordata; Mammalia; Primates; Hominidae
Description: non-protein coding LINC00599:24
Rfam family: mir-124 microRNA precursor family (bases 563-635)
Source: RNAcentral